GCAGAAGAUGGGCAGAGUCUGCAUGUGGCUGCAGGACCUCUGUCAGAGAAUGAAACACUCAUCGCAUGAAUUGACAAAGAGUAAAGGAGAAUUUGCUGAAAUACUUAUUUAAAGUCUAGUACUAAGCUGUCGGGUACCAUAGUCACUAGCUACACAUUGCUACUGAGCACCUGAAACAUGGCUAUUCUGAAUUGAGAUGUGCUGUAAGUAUAAAAAAUUCUGAAUUUGAAGUCUUAGUUUAAAAAAUGUAAAAUAUAUCAUUAAUACAUUUUAUAUUAAUUGCAUGUUGAAAUGA
This 295-nucleotide long non-coding RNA is filed under the name Homo sapiens (human). RNAcentral's name for it is "non-protein coding lnc-CDC42SE2-1:7". The record is from RNAcentral. Lineage: Eukaryota; Metazoa; Chordata; Mammalia; Primates; Hominidae.